AGAGGAUACCCUUGUAUGUUCACUCCAUUCAUGACGAAUAUACAGGGGGAGACUCUUAU
RNAcentral lists this microRNA precursor (59 nucleotides) under Echinops telfairi (small Madagascar hedgehog). The record is from RNAcentral. Lineage: Eukaryota; Metazoa; Chordata; Mammalia; Afrosoricida; Tenrecidae.